This 326-nucleotide long non-coding RNA is filed under the name Brassica napus (rape). RNAcentral's name for it is "long non-coding RNA (BNAP_LNC003590)". The record is from RNAcentral. Lineage: Eukaryota; Viridiplantae; Streptophyta; Magnoliopsida; Brassicales; Brassicaceae.
UGGUGGAUGUAGCGGUGAAUGUGGAAACAUGGUGAAAGCAGCUAUGGCUAGUGGUUGCGGUAGUGGUUGUAGUGGUGAAUGUGGAGACAUGAUGAAAGCAACAAACGCCAGUGGUUGCGGUAGUGGUUGUAGUGGUGAAUGCGGAGAAAUGAUGAAAGCAGCAAACGCCAGCGGUUGCGGUAGUGGUUGCAGUGGAGAAUGCGGAGAAAUGAUGAAAGCAACAAAGGCCAGCGGCUGUGGUGGUGGUUGCAGUGGUGAAUGUGGAGACAUGGUGAAAGCAGCAAAGGCCAGCGGCUGCGGAGGUGGUUGUAGUGGAGAAUGUGGAG